This 253-nucleotide ribosomal RNA is filed under the name uncultured bacterium. Its description in RNAcentral is "partial 16S ribosomal RNA". It matches the Rfam family "Bacterial small subunit ribosomal RNA", at positions 524 to 776 of the family's 1533-position model. The record is from RNAcentral.
UACGUAGGGUGCGAGCGUUGUCCGGAAUUAUUGGGCGUAAAGGGCUCGUAGGCGGUCUGUCGCGUCGGGAGUGAAAACUCAGGGCUUAACCCUGAGCCUGCUUCCGAUACGGGCAGACUAGAGGUAUGCAGGGGAGAACGGAAUUCCUGGUGUAGCGGUGAAAUGCGCAGAUAUCAGGAGGAACACCGGUGGCGAAGGCGGGUCUCUGGGCCGAUACUGACGCUGAGGAGCGAAAGCGUGGGGAGCAAACAGG